This 229-nucleotide ribosomal RNA is filed under the name uncultured bacterium. RNAcentral's name for it is "partial 16S ribosomal RNA". It matches the Rfam family "Bacterial small subunit ribosomal RNA", at positions 104 to 334 of the family's 1533-position model. The record is from RNAcentral.
CGGGGUGAGUAAUGUCUGGGAAACUGCCUGAUGGAGGGGGAUAACUGCUGGAAACGGUAGCUAAUACCGCAUAACGUCGCAAGACCAAAGAGGGGGACCUUCGGGCCUCUUGCCAUCGGAUGUGCCCAGAUGGGAUUAGCUAGUAGGUGGGGUAACGGCUCACCUAGGCGACGAUCCCUAGCUGGUCUGAGAGGAUGACCAGCCACACUGGAACUGAGACACGGUCCAG